Molecule: ribosomal RNA, 782 nt
Filed under: uncultured bacterium
Lineage: Bacteria
Description: bacterial SSU rRNA
Rfam family: Bacterial small subunit ribosomal RNA
Source: RNAcentral
GAUGAACUCUGGCGGCGUGCCUAAUACAUGCAAGUCGGACGCAAUGCUUCGGUAUUGAGUGGCGAACGGGUGAGUAAGACAUAAGCAACCUGCCCCUGUGAGGGGGAUAACUGCUGGAAACGGCAGCUAAGACCGCAUAGGCAUACAUGACGCAUGUCGAGUAUGUUAAAUAUCCCACGGGAUAGCACAGGGAUGGGCUUAUGACGCAUUAGCUAGCUGGUGAGGUAGAGGCUCACCAGGGCGACGAUGCGUAGCCGGCCUGAGAGGGUGGACGGCCACACUGGGACUGAGACACGGCCCAGACUCCUACGGGAGGCAGCAGUAGGGAAUUUUCGGCAAUGGGCGAAAGCCUGACCGAGCAACGCCGCGUGAAGGAAGAAGUCAUUCGUGAUGUAAACUUCUGUUAUAAAGGAAGAACGGCGCCUGUAGGGAAUGACAGGCGAGUGACGGUACUUUAUGAGGAAGCCACGGCUAACUACGUGCCAGCAGCCGCGGUAAUACGUAGGUGGCGAGCGUUAUCCGGAAUCAUUGGGCGUAAAGAGGGAGCAGGCGGCAGUGCAGGUCUGCGGUGAAAGCCCGAAGCUAAACUUCGGUAAGCCGUGGAAACCGCACAGCUAGAGAGCGUCAGAGGAUCGCGGAAUUCCAUGUGUAGCGGUGAAAUGCGUAGAUAUAUGGAGGAACACCAGUGGCGAAGGCGGCGGUCUGGGGUGCAGCUGACGCUCAGUCCCGAAAGCGUGGGGAGCAAAUAGGAUUAGAUACCCUAGUAGUCCACGCCGUAAACG